Peromyscus maniculatus bairdii (prairie deer mouse) is the source of this 1548-nucleotide non-coding RNA. NCBI's taxonomy places the organism in Eukaryota, Metazoa, Chordata, Mammalia, Rodentia, Cricetidae. The record is from RefSeq and is a predicted model, not a curated record.
CAAGCCCAUUCUAAAAUGUCAAGUGUUUCAGUUUUGAGAAGGAAAAAAAAAAAAGAAAGAAAGAAAGCAAGCAAGCUGAAAAAAACAUGACUCAUGACAAGGCUGACAAACAGAUCUGAAGCAUCUGAGGGGGACUUGCCAAGCACAAAGGCAAGAAGAUGUGAGCGCCGAGUGAGUCAAGCCAUCGCUAGCUAACCUGUCUCAUCACUUGGUGAGCUGAGCAGUGCAGUGGUGCCAGCAGGCGGACCCAGCUGCUGGGGGAUGACUACCUAAUGUCACAACCGUCUCCAAGCUGAGAGCCACAAGGCCUCCCCGCUCCCAGUGAGAACAGAAGACUGAGGGCCCAGACCAAGGCCUCGUUGGUGAUGAUGGAUGUGCAGGUGGCUUUUAAACCCCGGGUGGAGAGUGAGUUGGCGUAGGAAGCCAGCAGACCUAGGGAGACCUGAGAAUGAAGGAGAAAAUUUAAUAUGUGCCGGGAGAGCAAGGCCCAAACGAUGGGCUCUGAUAUCAAAGUGACCAGCUUCCGUGAGAGACACUCUCACCAUCCCUCGCUUUCGGGAAAUGCUCCCAGUGAACCUGGCCUUCAGGGCAGGCCCUGGUUGUAGCCGGUCUACUGACAUGUCAUUAAUCGGGCUGACAAAGGACGGUGGCUUUGUGUUCUUUCCAUCUCUUCGGUCCAGUCAGAACACGGACAGAGCAAUACUGCAGGAUCGCGACUGAAUGCAGAGUGAAGAGUGAAAACAGAUGCACAGAAAUCGAGCUCGCUGACAUCCUUAGAAAGUUGCAAGUGGCCCUUGCCUACACGGGUUCAGUUUGCUGUGCUUGACACUAGGGAACGGUCUAAAUUUGUUCUUCACAAUCCAUGCUAGGGCAGCAGUGUGGCACAAGUCUCAAGUGCAGCCGCAGGGAGAGCAGCUCCCAGGGCUGGCUGUUAAGCUCUGGUGCUCUAUAGCUUGGGGGCAUCGAAUGCAAUUUCAGUUUACAGCGUUUAAUCUCACCAUGCAUUUGUUGAGAUGAAAACACUGUUAACUGAUACAUUUAAGUCGAGAAGCACCUUUAGUGCUUCUGGCCAGGUGUUUCCUAGUUUUCUUAUGGGAGCUGGGGGGAUGGGUGUACUUCACACACACACCCACACACAGACACACACAGACACAGACACACACACACACACACACACACACACACACACACAUGCGCUUACCUGUUUGUUUCCCUAUGGAAACUCCACAUUGCUGGAGACUUAGAAUCGGCAUCAUCUGUACAAGGAAGAGUGAGGCUUCGGAUCAGAUGGAGGGCGUGUGCUUUACCUGCUGGGUGACUUGCAGCAAGCCAGGAACGUUUGUGUUUACUCAUUUUAUUAGUUUAAUGUGCUGUUGUAAUGGACUCCCAUGAACUUGUUGACUUAACACAGCACACAGCUAUCUUUUUUUGUUUUUCAUUCUGGAGGUCAUAAGUUCAAAUCAAUUUUAUUGAUUCAAAAAUCAAAUAUUGCCUGAGCUACAGCUUCUCUGAGGGCUCCUGGGAGAAAAGUUUCCUUGCCUUCCAUCU